RNAcentral lists this transfer RNA (82 nucleotides) under Cyclobacteriaceae bacterium. Its description in RNAcentral is "tRNA-Leu". It matches the Rfam family "tRNA". From Rfam's summary of the family: Transfer RNA (tRNA) molecules are approximately 80 nucleotides in length. Their secondary structure includes four short double-helical elements and three loops (D, anti-codon, and T loops). Lineage: Bacteria; Pseudomonadati; Bacteroidota; Cytophagia; Cytophagales; Cyclobacteriaceae. The record is from RNAcentral.
GCGGGUGUGGCGAAAUUGGUAGACGCACUAGACUUAGGAUCUAGCGCCGCGAGGCAUGGGGGUUCGAGUCCCUCCACCCGCA